UGGAUAGUUCAGAAACAGAGCCCAUCUUAUCGCAGAUUUCGGUUGUUGAGGAAUCUGAGGACACUUCACAUUCAACUGAAAUUACUGAGGAUUGUUUGGAGACUGCUGGUGACCUGCCAAGUGUUGGAGUCUAUGAAAUUCAAUCUUUCUCACAUGCUGAACUGUCCCAAUGUCGCAUAUGCUUGGACAGUGAAGGAGAAGAUCUGAUUGCACCCUGCCAUUGUAAAGGAACACAAAAGUAUGUCCAUAGAUCAUGUCUCGAUAACUGGAGAUCAACUAAGGAGGGAUUUGCUUUUGCUCACUGUACCGAAUGCAGGGCAAAG
Molecule: unclassified non-coding RNA, 323 nt
Filed under: Hevea brasiliensis (rubber tree)
Lineage: Eukaryota; Viridiplantae; Streptophyta; Magnoliopsida; Malpighiales; Euphorbiaceae
Source: RNAcentral